CAAACGACUCUCGGCAACGGAUAUCUCGGCUCACGCAUCGAUGAAGAACGUAGCAAAAUGCGAUACUUGGUGUGAAUUGCAGAAUCCCGUGAACCAUCGAGUUUUUGAACGCAAGUUGCGCCCGAAGCCAUUUGGUUGAGGGCACGUCUGCCUGGGCGUCACMCA
Molecule: ribosomal RNA, 165 nt
Filed under: Anaphalis busua
Lineage: Eukaryota; Viridiplantae; Streptophyta; Magnoliopsida; Asterales; Asteraceae
Description: 5.8S ribosomal RNA
Rfam family: 5.8S ribosomal RNA
About the family: 5.8S ribosomal RNA (5.8S rRNA) is a component of the large subunit of the eukaryotic ribosome. It is transcribed by RNA polymerase I as part of the 45S precursor that also contains 18S and 28S rRNA. Functionally, it is thought that 5.8S rRNA may be involved in ribosome translocation.
Source: RNAcentral